Molecule: long non-coding RNA, 535 nt
Filed under: Mizuhopecten yessoensis (Yesso scallop)
Lineage: Eukaryota; Metazoa; Mollusca; Bivalvia; Pectinida; Pectinidae
Description: uncharacterized LOC110443532
Source: RNAcentral
UCGCAGCUGAUGACAGCGAUAUGACAGCUGCUGAGGAUGAAGUCUGAAAGUGAAAGAAUAUGUGCUUUCCGUUGUUAUUGCUCGUUUAUCUACAUGUUGAAUAGAACAAACGAUAAUCAGAGUUUAUCAUCACUUGAACGGAAUAGGUAAUUUCGUACGAUAGAAGAAUUAUGACCGUUACCCAUCACACUGACUGCGACACUUCUCUACUCUACUGAACAGCUGAUCAUGAAGGUCUCGACGUUGAACGUUUCAUUCGAAGCAUUACAGCAAUUACGUCUUAACUGUUGACAGAGAUUUUGUUCAGAAAUAAAUAAUAAAUGGCAGUGUUAACAGCUUGAAGUGAUCGUCUGAAAACUGCAACUUAAAACAAAUGUUUUGAGUCAUCGUCAAUGACCCCAAGGACCCAUACCGAACCGACACGAGUAGACGAGUUUCCACAAUGAGGAAUGUUCUAGGUCAUGGAUAUUAAGCAGAAAGCCUUAUGUAAGAAGACACCAGGAUAGAAACAAAACUCUGGACAAUUUAAUGUGAA